Molecule: long non-coding RNA, 303 nt
Filed under: Selaginella moellendorffii
Lineage: Eukaryota; Viridiplantae; Streptophyta; Lycopodiopsida; Selaginellales; Selaginellaceae
Description: long non-coding RNA (SMOE_LNC001673)
Source: RNAcentral
AUGUCUUUUAUGACGCUAUAGUCUGCUCUGUGCUGGGUAAAAAAUGCGAUUUUGAUCGUUUUGCUGCGGCCCCUUGCUGCAGCACAACGGUUUGUGUUGGCCCGAUUAGAUCACGCCUGGAAAACAGCAGGAAAAAAAGGAAUGAGGAGCUAGUAGAAAGAAGAGUAGUAGUAAGACAGGAAGUCACUUACACGAGGGAGAGGCUGCAAGGAGGAGCUCCAGGAAAGAACCAGCCAAGAUGGUGUUUUUGUUGCCCAUCAUCGCCUCAUCCUCGAUGCCACCUCUCCUUCCAUCUGUAGAUCC